Molecule: ribosomal RNA, 460 nt
Filed under: uncultured bacterium
Lineage: Bacteria
Description: partial 16S ribosomal RNA
Rfam family: Bacterial small subunit ribosomal RNA
Source: RNAcentral
CCUACGGGAGGCAGCAGUGAGGAAUAUUGGUCAAUGGACGAGAGUCUGAACCAGCCAAGUCGCGUGAAGGAUGACUGCCCUAUGGGUUGUAAACUUCUUUUAUAAAGGAAUAAAACGAGGCACGUGUGCCUUUUUGCAUGUACUUUAUGAAUAAGGAUCGGCUAACUCCGUGCCAGCAGCCGCGGUAAUACGGAGGAUCCGAGCGUUAUCCGGAUUUAUUGGGUUUAAAGGGAGCGUAGAUGGGUUGUUAAGUCAGUUGUGAAAGUUUGCGGCUCAACCGUAAAAGUGCAAUUGAAACUGGCAGUCUUGAGUGCAGAUGAGGAAGGUGGAAUUCGGGGUGUAGCGGUGAAAUGCGUAGAUAUCACGAAGAACCCCGAUUGCGAAGGCAGCUUACUAGUCUGUAACUGACGCUGAUGCUCGAAAGUGUGGGUAUCAAACAGGAUUAGAUACCCCUGUAGUC